UACAGAGGUCCCGAGCGUUGUUCGGAUUUAUUGGGCGUAAAGGGCGCGUAGGCGGCGGGGCAAGUCGGGUGUGAAAUCUCAGGGCUCAACCCUGAAACUGCACUCGAUACUGCUCUGCUUGAGGACUGGAGAGGAGACUGGAAUUCACGGUGUAGCAGUGAAAUGCGUAGAUAUCGUGAGGAAGACCAGUGGCGAAGGCGGGUCUCUGGACAGUUCCUGACGCUGAGGCGCGAAGGCCAGGGGAGCAAACGGG
Molecule: ribosomal RNA, 253 nt
Filed under: uncultured bacterium
Lineage: Bacteria
Description: partial 16S ribosomal RNA
Rfam family: Bacterial small subunit ribosomal RNA
Source: RNAcentral